This 468-nucleotide ribosomal RNA is filed under the name uncultured bacterium. RNAcentral describes it as "partial 16S ribosomal RNA". It matches the Rfam family "Bacterial small subunit ribosomal RNA", at positions 28 to 507 of the family's 1533-position model. The record is from RNAcentral.
GACGAACGCUGGCGGCGUGCUUAACACAUGCAAGUCGAACGGAAAGGCCCUGCUUUUGUGGGGUGCUCGAGUGGCGAACGGGUGAGUAACACGUGAGUAACCUGCCCUUGACUUUGGGUUAACUUCAGGAAACUGGGGCUAAUACCGGAUAGGAGCUCCUGCUGCAUGGUGGGGGUUGGAAAGUUUCGGCGGUUGGGGAUGGACUCGCGGCUUAUCAGCUUGUUGGUGGGGUAGUGGCUUACCAAGGCUUUGACGGGUAGCCGGCCUGAGAGGGUGACCGGCCACAUUGGGACUGAGAUAGGGCGCAGACGCCUACGGGAGGCAGCAGUGGGGAAUAUUGCACAAUGGGCGGAAGCCUGAUGCAGCAACGCCGCGUGCGGGAUGACGGCCUUCGGGUUGUAAACCGCUUUCGCCUGUGACGAAGCGUGAGUGACGGUAAUGGGUAAAGAAGCACCGGCUAACUACGUG